Non-coding RNA from Paramuricea clavata, 275 nucleotides. Lineage: Eukaryota; Metazoa; Cnidaria; Anthozoa; Malacalcyonacea; Plexauridae. The record is from the annotation of a GenBank genome assembly.
AACUAUAACGUGCGGUGGUGAUACAAUAUAUGCGUGUGUGUGCUUUUUUGGCAGCAGGAUAAAGCCUGUUUUCCACUAGGCGGAAUUUUGCGCGCGGAGCGAAAUUUUUCUUUGUCUUUUCUAAUUAGUUCCACCCGAGAAAUCACAAGACAAAGAAAAAUUCCGCUCCGUGCGCAAAAUUCCGCCUAGUGGAAAACAGGCUUAAUUGCCCACACGGACCGAACGCGAUUCGGCAACGUGACGCGAAUUUUCAGUUUUCAAAAACAAAUAAAAAC